Molecule: long non-coding RNA, 888 nt
Organism: Hemicordylus capensis (graceful crag lizard)
Lineage: Eukaryota; Metazoa; Chordata; Lepidosauria; Squamata; Cordylidae
Exons: 2
Source: RefSeq, a predicted model, not a curated record
UGGGAUCUGAGCAGCCUGGACCCCUCUCAUCCCUACUGCCCCCUGAAGGGAAUGAAAGCACAGGGGGGAUGCCACGCUCCUCUCCAGACUCCAGAGGGCCACCCAAGCAACCAGGUUAGAAUCCAGGCCUGCGGAAGUGGCAUUUGCUACAGAAAACUACAAGAAAUCCAUUAGGUUGCCUUGCUUAUCUUGAAUGCACCCAAAGGGAUCUUGAGCUAUUCUGGGUGUAAUGCAGUCUUUGGAUCGCUUCCAAAAGGUCAUAAGACUUCAGUGAAACCAAUGAAUAAAGUAGAGGCAUUCAGUCAGUAGCCAGGAAAAGCCAGCUAUCUUCUCAUGUGAUGAUGUUCAAACUUACAGCAGCAUCAAGGGCUGCAGCUCUGUAAUGGUGUGAUCCUGCAUGGUGCUGCGUGCCCUAAAAAUCCCACUGCUACGCUCUCAAAGUGCUCAUGACCGUCGGUAUGCUCAGCAACCAUCAGGAUCAGAUCUUUAAAGCUUCAUUAGAACCCAAAUAAGUGUAAUUAUUGCUAACCCAAACAUGCCACUGAUCUGAAAAGGCAAAGAUCAAUGCAGUUUCCAUUACACAGUGAUCUUUAAAGCGCUCCACUGGCAAGAAAAGGUUACAGAACUUAACCAGACUUGCGCCAGGAGAGGAGACUGAGGACUGAAGCAGUCAAGGAAGGCAACCAGCCUCUUGAUCAUCUCAUUACAUAAGAAGGAUUUAUACUUCUAGGAGCUAUUUACAAAUACAUCGUGGCAGCCUCAGAACACAGUCUCAGACACCCGCACUCCUGUGGCAUGUCGGCAGAAGGAGACCUUAAAAGCCACAAGAAUGUAAUGCAUUUCAUUUAUGGAUAUUACAGGCAGAUAAAGCACAUUAGCUAGGAUCAA